Molecule: ribosomal RNA, 403 nt
Filed under: uncultured bacterium
Lineage: Bacteria
Description: bacterial SSU rRNA
Rfam family: Bacterial small subunit ribosomal RNA
Source: RNAcentral
UAGGGAAUAUUGCAAAAUGGGCGAAAGCCCGAUGCAGCAACGCCGCGUGGGCGAUGAAGGCCUUCGGGUCGUAAAGCCCUCUUUGAGGGGAUGAGGAAGGACAGUACCCUCAGAAUAAGCCUCGGCUAACUACGUGCCAGCAGCCGCGGUAAAACGUAGGAGGCGAGCGUUAUCCGGAUUUACUGGGCGUAAAGCGCGUGCAGGCGGAUUGGAGAGUUGGAUGUGAAAGCUCCCGGCUUAACUGGGAGAGGUCGUUCAAUACUUCCAGUCUUGAGUGCAGUAGAGGGAAGUGGAAUUCCCGGUGUAGUGGUGAAAUGCGUAGAUAUCCGGAGGAACACCAGUGGCGAAAGCGGCUUCCUGGACUGUAACUGACGCUCAGACGCGAAAGCUAGGGUAGCAAACG